RNAcentral lists this RNase P RNA (493 nucleotides) under Nanobdellota archaeon. RNAcentral's name for it is "RNase P RNA component". It matches the Rfam family "Archaeal RNase P". Rfam says of the family: Ribonuclease P (RNase P) is a ubiquitous endoribonuclease, found in archaea, bacteria and eukarya as well as chloroplasts and mitochondria. Its best characterised activity is the generation of mature 5'-ends of tRNAs by cleaving the 5'-leader elements of precursor-tRNAs. Cellular RNase Ps are ribonucleoproteins. Lineage: Archaea; Nanobdellati; Nanobdellota. The record is from RNAcentral.
GGCAGGGUUGAUACUUAGCUUCGGUGCAGCGAGCUCUCGCUUGCAACUGAGGAAAGUCCACCCACCCAACUGCGGAAGAAUGUGAGUAAAUUCGCUCACAACUCACACGGUUGACAAAUUGGGUGACAUUUUGCUUUUGCAAAAAUCACCUGUGUAGCCACUCACGGAAGUGAGCUCUAGCAAUAGAGGGCAACCACUCAGAAACGAGACCGCUUGCAAAGAGGAUGAUGUUUGCGAAAGUUUUCGCGAGAAAACUAAGUAGACCAACUGACGUUUUUGCAAGCAUGGGUGAAACGGUGAGCCCUGGCUGGUGCAAGUCAGUGACGUUAAAUUUCGGCGACAUGCGAGUGAGCUUCGUUCGUGAAGCGAACUCGUUCACAGGUCACUGAAAUUUAUGGCGUUCCAGUACGCUUAGUUUAAUGCUAAGACAGGCCAUCGCAAUUUUAUAAUUGCAUUCAGGGCCUGACAAAAGGUGGCUUAUGCCGGCCCUGCC